This 253-nucleotide ribosomal RNA is filed under the name uncultured bacterium. Its description in RNAcentral is "partial 16S ribosomal RNA". It matches the Rfam family "Bacterial small subunit ribosomal RNA", at positions 524 to 776 of the family's 1533-position model. The record is from RNAcentral.
GACGAAGGAUGCAAGCGUUAUCCGGAUUCAUUGGGUUUAAAGGGAGCCUAGGUGGACUGAUAAGUCAGUGGUGAAAUCUUUGGGCUUAACCCAAAAAUUGCCAUUGAUACUGUUGGUCUUGAGUAUAGUUGCCGUUGGCGGAAUAUGACAUGUAGUGGUGAAAUACAUAGAGAUGUCAUAGAACACCGAUUGCGAAGGCAGCUGACGAAACUAUAACUGACACUGAGGCUCGAAAGUGUGGGGAUCAAACAGG